RNAcentral lists this unclassified non-coding RNA (1987 nucleotides) under Hevea brasiliensis (rubber tree). The record is from RNAcentral. Lineage: Eukaryota; Viridiplantae; Streptophyta; Magnoliopsida; Malpighiales; Euphorbiaceae.
GAAAUUUAAAAAUAAUUUUUAUUAUUUUGUGAAGUAAAAAUAUUUUUUUCUUGAUUUUAGAAAUAAAAUAUGAUAAAAUAAUAUUGUUUUUAAUACUUAGUUUAUCCUUUUAUUGAAAAUAAAAAUUUUACGUUAGAAAAAUUAAGAAAAUUUGGAAAGAGUUUAAUAAUUAUUUUUCAUCAUUGUUUAACGUGUAAAUUUAUUUUUAAUAAAUUGUGUAAAAAAUAUUAAAUAAAAGCAUAAUUACUUUAAAAAGGUGCAGAUUGUUUGUCAGUUAUUUUGGUUAAUAAUCUCUCAUCUAUUGUUGAUCGCUAUAAUUAGCGGACAUUAAUUAGAAAAUCAUGAUUAAAUUAAAUUUUUUUGUUUUUCAAAAAUUUUAAAAAACAUAUUUCUUUGUUGGGAGGGAAAAAAAAAAAGAAGAAGAGAGCAAAAUUCAUUUUUUUUUUAGUUAAUUGGAAAGAAAAUAAAAAAUUAAAGGGGAAAAAUAAUUUAAUUUUGAUGUUUUUUAUAUUUUAUUUUUUAUUCAUGGGAAAAAAUAAAUAAUAAAAAAUAAGAAUAAUUUUUUUCUUUUAUUUUUCUUAUUGAAAACAGUGUAAAUUAAAAAAAGAUAGUACCGAUGAGUAUUGUGGGCUAGGCAGAUUAUAGUAGAUUCAAAUAAAGGCUUAAUCAGCCCAUUGGAAGGAUAGGGCAUGACCCAAAUUACAAAUGGCUUAGCUACUAAUACCAAUCCCAACCCACAAUUAAGUCUAAGCCCAUUAAAAAAAAAAAAGAAACUAGCAGAGGCUGGUAUUGUGCCUAGACCCCCAACCCAAAAAGAAGGUGCAACAGCGCCGCUUUUACCAUGGACAAAUGAGGAGCUGUGCCUCAUUGGAUUUUCAUUCUCCAAGGAAGGUUUAAUCUUCUGAAGCGUAUCGCCUGGGGGCUACUCAAAGGGAAAACCCCAAGCAACAACCACAUCCAAAUGAUUGAAUAAAAGCUAGGCAAAGAGUAGAUAAACGGCCAUGGAAGAAAGAAGCCACAAGCAAGUCAGCCCAUUCAAAUGCGGGUGCCAUGAUAGAGCUCCAUAGCCACUGGGCUUGAGGAUCUGCUGCCAGAACCAAGUCCACGCAAAGAUCCUUGGAGGUGUCAUCGCCAAGAAAGGUAAAGGCCCUCCCCGUUGAGCAAAAUCAAAGUAAUCCAAAUCUCAAAGCACCAAUGGCCAACCCACUGCACAGAUCCAGCAAAGAAACUCUCUGUGUUCUGCUCAUGAUCUGAAAAAAAAAAAAAAUGUAUAUAUAUAUAUAUAUACACAUCCAGAAGGGAAACUAAAGGAGCUGGGGAUUAGUAACCCAGCUAGCUUAUAAAUCACCCUUGCUAGUGUUACAAGCUAACCAGUUGGCACAAUGGUUUGCUGAACAGGGAAAGUGACACACAUUCACAACUUGUAAUAAGAGAACAGAAACAACUUAACCUCCUGAAUAAUGGCCAUAAUCUCUCAAGCAAUGGACUCUGGAGAAGAGGAAAUAAAAUUUUUAAGUUGAAGAGAAUCCAAUUCAAUGUACAAUCAACCAAAUUCCUACUAGCAGCAAACUAAAUCGCCGCCCAAAGACCAAUGCCUUCCGCCGCAAGAGGAGAAAUUCAAACUUUGCAGAAAAACCAUUUCAUAAGAGAGCCCGCAGAGUCCCUGAUUGAGAAAUCAAAAGCAACCUCUGACGAAGAGCCAAUAAAAGAUACAUCAACAUUUAUCUUUAGUUUAUCCGGAUCUAAGGGAGACCAAAGAGAUUAAGCAAGAGCUCUGGAUGAAGAUAAAAGCAAAGAAUAAGGUUGUGGAAUGGUCAAGUGAAGCAGUUCACCAAUCCCAUUCUUAGCUUUUCUAAGAGUGAUAACUGGAUCUAGUCACACAUCAAUGAAAACAGCAUUUGAUGUCUUACACUACGUGUUUACACAAUAGGAUUCAAUAUUCAUCAUAUAUUUUUAAUAAUUAAAAAAAAUUUUAAAAAUAAUGUGC